RNAcentral lists this unclassified non-coding RNA (418 nucleotides) under soil metagenome. Its description in RNAcentral is "partial contains 5.8S ribosomal RNA, internal transcribed spacer 2, and large subunit ribosomal RNA". The stretch from base 1 to 120 matches the Rfam family "5.8S ribosomal RNA", at positions 35 to 154 of the family's 154-position model. The record is from RNAcentral.
GAUGAAGAACGUAGCGAAAUGCGAUAAGUAAUGUGAAUUGCAGAAUUCAGUGAAUCAUCGAAUCUUUGAACGCAUCUUGCGCUCCUUGGUAUUCCUUGGAGCACGCCUGUUUGAGUAUCAUGAGCAAAUCUCAAAGUCAAUUCCUUUUGUUGAUUCAAUUGGUUUUGCUUUGGACUUGGAGGCCUUGCAGAUUUCACAGUCUGCUCCUCUUAAAUGCAUUAGCUGGAUCUCAGUAAUUAUGCUUGGUUCCACUCGGCGUGAUAAGUAUCACUCGCUGAGGACACUGUUAAAAAGGUGGCCAGGAAAAUACUGAUUGAACCGCUUCUAACGGUCUAUUAAGUUAGACAAUUACCCUUAAGUUUGAUCUCAAAUCAGGUAGGACUACCCGCUGAACUUAAGCAUAUCAAUAAGCGGAGGA